AUUUAAAUAAUUUAAAAUAAAAUAUUGAUUUGUGGAAUCAAAUAUAUGAGAAAUUCAUUUUAAAUU
Molecule: transfer RNA, 66 nt
Filed under: Limenitis moltrechti
Lineage: Eukaryota; Metazoa; Arthropoda; Insecta; Lepidoptera; Nymphalidae
Also listed under: 2 other names
Description: tRNA-His
Source: RNAcentral